RNAcentral lists this ribosomal RNA (371 nucleotides) under uncultured organism. RNAcentral describes it as "bacterial SSU rRNA". It matches the Rfam family "Bacterial small subunit ribosomal RNA", at positions 527 to 896 of the family's 1533-position model. The record is from RNAcentral.
GGAGGGGGCGAGCGUAAUUCGGAAUUAUUGGGCGUAAAGGGCGCGUAGGCGGCCCUGCAAGUCAAAGGUGAAAUCCCUCGGCUCAACUGAGGAACUGCCUUUGAAACUGCAGGGCUUGAGUCCGGGAGGGGGUAGCGGAAUUCCCAGUGUAGCGGUGAAAUGCGUAGAUAUUGGGAGGAACACCAGUGGCGAAGGCGGCUACCUGGACCGGAACUGACGCUGAUGCGCGAAAGCGUGGGUAGCAAACAGGAUUAGAUACCCUGGUAGUCCACGCUGUAAACGAUGGGUGCUCGGUGUCGCGGGUAUCGACCCCUGCGGUGCCUUAGCCAACGCGUUAAGCACCCCGCCUGGGGAGUACGGUCGCAAGGCUG